RNAcentral lists this ribosomal RNA (162 nucleotides) under Angelica sinensis (Chinese angelica). RNAcentral describes it as "5.8S ribosomal RNA". It matches the Rfam family "5.8S ribosomal RNA". From Rfam's summary of the family: 5.8S ribosomal RNA (5.8S rRNA) is a component of the large subunit of the eukaryotic ribosome. Lineage: Eukaryota; Viridiplantae; Streptophyta; Magnoliopsida; Apiales; Apiaceae. The record is from RNAcentral.
CUCUCGACAACGGAUAUCUCGGCUCUCGCAUCGAUGAAGAACGUAGCGAAAUGCGAUACUUGGUGUGAAUUGCAGAAUCCCGUGAACCAUCGAGUCUUUGAACGCAAGUUGCGCCCGAAGCCAUUAGGCUGAGGGCACGUCUGCCUGGGUGUCACGCAUCAU